AGAUCAUAUCAUUUACUGUCAUGAGGACUCAGUACCUUCUUGUUUACCACAAGCUUGUGUAUGCAAUCACAUGGAAUGUUUCAAACAAAGCUGAGCUGCAAUUACAAGUCAACAAAAUAUGACUGUUUAUAACCCUAGUAGUGUCCACCUCUGAAACUGUCACACUACACCAGGGUAACAGUGACCCUCAAUUAUUUUUUGCAGAAACUGACUGGAAAUAGAGGAUUUUAAAAUUAAAUUGGACUCUCAUGUA
Molecule: long non-coding RNA, 253 nt
Organism: Schistocerca piceifrons (Central American locust)
Lineage: Eukaryota; Metazoa; Arthropoda; Insecta; Orthoptera; Acrididae
Exons: 2
Source: RefSeq, a predicted model, not a curated record